CCGUCAAUUCAUUUGAGUUUCACCGUUGCCGGCGUACUCCCCAGGUGGAUUACUUAUCGCUUUCGCUUGGUCGCUGACUGUCAUAUCGCCAACAACGAGUAAUCAUCGUUUACGGUGCGGACUACCAGGGUAUCUAAUCCUGUUUGAUCCCCGCACUUUCGUGCCUCAGCGUCAGUUAUAGUUUCGUUAGCUGCCUUCGCAAUCGGUGUUCUAUGACAUAUCUAAGUAUUUCACCACUACAUGUCAUAUUCCGCCAACGUCAUCUAUACUCUAGACCGACAGUAUCAAUGGCAGUUUCUCAGUUAAGCUGAGAGAUUUCACCACUGACUUAUCAGUCCGCCUACGCACCCUUUAAACCCAAUGAAUCCGGAUAACGCUUGCAUCCUUCGUCUUACCGCGG
Molecule: unclassified non-coding RNA, 400 nt
Filed under: uncultured fungus
Lineage: Eukaryota; Fungi
Description: sequence contains ITS1
Source: RNAcentral